UCCUGAUCUCCUCCCUUCCUGUAACCUCCAGUCCUCCUCCCUAUCCUCUGCGCCCGCCGACGUGGGCCGCGUCUCGGUGUCCUUGGCCAUGCCGGCGGCGACGGCGGCAGCGAUGCGGUCUGGCGUCGGCGCCGACGGAGUUCUCCUUGCCCGUCAAUCCCGCGACAAUGCCCGCCCGGGCUCAAAUCCCCUCCCCCACGAGCUCCUCCUCGACGCGCCGCCACCCACGCUCAGACCUCGCCGCCGCCAACUACCCUCAGACCGCGCCGCCGCCUAUGGCCUCCGCCCAUGCCCCCGUCCUCUCUCCUGCCCUCCACUCCCCCGAAGAAAAGAGAAGAGAAGAGACGCAUGUAGAUCGAACGACCAGAUCGAGCGGCGGCCAGAUCCAUCCGCCACGGUUGCCCAGGGCUCGCGCGCCUCCGACGACGUGGCCCUGCCCGUGCGUCAAGGGCCUGGACGGAGAUGCUUCUGCUCCGCAAUGGCCAUGGAGCUUCCUCCCAAUCCAAAGUCUUGGACUGGACGGGGACGGCUGCUCUUCCAAGUUCCUCUUCUCCGCUGCUAGCCUACUACAUCGAGGCUUCAAGGCCACCAUGCCGGCUGCUUGCUGCGGCAUCCAGUCUAUUCGCCACGGCUGCUUCCUUCAGCUAGUCCUACUCAUGCUGUAGCCUGCACGUUUUCAAACAGACAGACAAAUAGUUCACACAUUUUUUUUAAACUAAUUUGAUUUUAUGCCUGCUUAACGUAUUGCUUCUUCUUAGAUUGACUCAAAAAAUUUAUGUCUGCUUUACCUACGCAAGGGCACAAUGAUGAAUUUUACGGACGAUGCUCCUGUAAAGAAGAGCUCUGUUCUCUUGACAAGGAUGGAAAGUAUAACAGCAUACAAAAACAAACGUGGACAACCCAGAUUGGAACUCCAGAACAAUCUGACACUCCAGUGUCUGCUAAUGACAUGUGUUCCCUUGUCGAAUGGCCAUGCCAUGCUCGCCGCAACCGUGCGCUACUACAGGAUGAUCAACUACAAGCUGAACGUGCAAACACGCAAGAGAGGAUUUACUUGGAGCGUGCUGAGGGACAACAACUUGAGGAAAGGUUAAAAGAAGAGUGUGCUGAAAGGGAAAGAUUGUUGGAAGAGGAGCGAACAUCAAGACUGGAAUUUGAAAAAAACAUGAUGGCAAAGUUUGCAGAAUUGAGCCAAUAGUUGGGAACCAAACAGGUGCCUACGAAGAGGGUUGACAAAGAAAAUAGUAAUCCAAACUUGCAAAAUAUUCUUUCACAGAGAUCUAGCCCUAAUAAGACUCCAGGUUCAAGGCCAACUGCUAUUUCUCCAAAUGCGCUCAUACAAGCUGCAGCAAGAAAUUCUCGAAUGUUUAAAGCAAUGGAUCCAAAGAACUAGCUGGACCGGACUCUAGAUCACGGACAGUUUAGUCUUCGUAGUUAAUUAGGAUGGCUAAAUUACAUUUGAGUUCAUUUGAUGGAUAUUUGCUAUGAGAAUUAUGAAUUUUAUGAAUCUACAUAUUAUAUGUGUGGUUUUGAAUAUUGUAAUUGAAAGCCUGUAUUUUUUUUACGGUUGCAAUAGGCUAUUACAACAACCCACUUUCGGUUGGCA
RNA transcript from Triticum aestivum (bread wheat), 1606 nucleotides. RefSeq lists it as uncharacterized. The transcript is spliced from 7 exons. NCBI's taxonomy places the organism in Eukaryota, Viridiplantae, Streptophyta, Magnoliopsida, Poales, Poaceae. The record is from RefSeq and is a predicted model, not a curated record.